Molecule: ribosomal RNA, 468 nt
Filed under: uncultured bacterium
Lineage: Bacteria
Description: partial 16S ribosomal RNA
Rfam family: Bacterial small subunit ribosomal RNA
Source: RNAcentral
GACGAACGCUGGCGGCGUGCUUAACACGUGCAAGUCGAACGGAAAGGCCCUGCUUUUGUGGGGUGCUCGAGUGGCGAACGGGUGAGUAACACGUGAGUAACCUGCCCUUGACUUUGGGAUAACUUCAGGAAACUGGGGCUAAUACCGGAUAGGAGCUCCUGCUGCAUGGUGGGGGUUGGAAAGUUUCGGCGGUUGGGGAUGGACUCGCGGCUUAUCAGCUUGUUGGUGGGGUAGUGGCUUACCAAGGCUUUGACGGGUAGCCGGCCUGAGAGGGUGACCGGCCACAUUGGGACUGAGAUACGGCCCAGACUCCUACGGGAGGCAGCAGUGGGGAAUAUUGCACAAUGGGCGGAAGCCUGAUGCAGCAACGCCGCGUGCGGGAUGACGGCCUCCGGGUUGUAAACCGCUUUCGCCUGUGACGAAGCGUGAGUGACGGUAAUGGGUAAAGAAGCACCGGCUAACUACGUG